AUGGGAUUGAUGAUGUUUCUCCAUUUCUGGAAAAGUGUCAAGUGAUGACUUGAUCUCUCCUUCCUCUGUCGCAGGCAAAUUCCAUACAUAAAAGAGUGCCGAGAAAUUAUAGAUAAUUGAAGAAUGCAUUAAUGUUACUUUUAUGUAUAAACUGCUUCCUAUAUGAUCAAACAUUUUGUCAGUUGCUUAUAAACUAUAUACAUGACUGUCAAACAGCUUGAGCAUCCUUUUUAGAUCUAGAUGAGCUCCCAUUUGAUAUGUUCAUUUUGCAUUUCCAAAUUACAUGUUCAAAAUCCUAUGACAUAUCGUUAUGAGAAAAGUCCAAUCAAUGAAUCAAUUGUACGUACUAUAUAGGCAG
Molecule: long non-coding RNA, 358 nt
Filed under: Elaeis guineensis (African oil palm)
Lineage: Eukaryota; Viridiplantae; Streptophyta; Magnoliopsida; Arecales; Arecaceae
Description: long non-coding RNA (EGUI_LNC001737)
Source: RNAcentral